UGCGGUGCGAGGUCGUUGAUUUGUUGAUGCCGAAGGUGUAUUGCGAGAGGCGAAGUUCAGGUUGGUGAUCGAUGAUGAUUGGAAUUGAUGAAGAUUGAAGAUGAAUGAUGAUUGUAUGAUUAUGAAGAUUGAAGGAUGAAGGAGCGUGUGGAGGAUUUCAGAAGUGAAGAUAAUGAACGGAUUCGAUGACUUCGUUCAUUCUUGCCAAUUGUUUUCUGAAGCCCCUGUGAAGAUGAUGAUUCAGAGUUUGUUAUAGAUGAAGAAGGUUGAGAUCAAUGGAGUGAGUUUCUGAAUUCAGAAGAGAGAUGAAGAGAGAGAUUGAGUUUUCUGUUAGAAAGUUUGUUACGUUCUUGAAAUCGUGAAGAUAAUUGAUGGUGAAUCCAAAAGUUUGUUACGUGUUGAGAUUGAAGUGAAGGAGGUCCAGAGCAAGAGAGAUUGAAGGCGGUUUAGACUUGAAGCCAUUUGGCUUUUGGAUAUGUAGUUGGGAGUUAUAGAAGCAUGACCUCGGCUUAGAAAAUUCAGAACAAGUUUAUGGUUUCUUUUUUUUUUGUUGUAAUUUUGUAAUGGGCUGGACUCUUGUGAUGAAUGGAUUUUUGGACUUUGGAAUGUAUGAAAUUUUUGUAAUUUUUGUAAUGGACAUCAA
Long non-coding RNA from Vicia villosa (hairy vetch), 643 nucleotides. RefSeq lists it as uncharacterized. The transcript has 3 exons. NCBI's taxonomy places the organism in Eukaryota, Viridiplantae, Streptophyta, Magnoliopsida, Fabales, Fabaceae. The record is from RefSeq and is a predicted model, not a curated record.